AUUUAAAGGGCCGCGGUAUUUUGACCGUGCAAAGGUAGCAUAAUCAUUAGUCUUUUAAUUGAGGGCUGGAAUGAAUGGUUUGACGAAAUAUUGACUGUCUCUUUAUAAUAAGUAGAAUUUAACUUUUGAGUCAAAAGGCUUAAAUAAUAAUAAAAGACGAGAAGACCCUAUAGAUCUUUAUAUGAGGAUACAUUUAUUUCAUUUAGAUGGUGUUUUAAUAGGUGAAAUUAUCAUAUUUUGUUGGGGUGACAUGAAGAUGUAAGUAACUCUUUAUUAUGGAAACAUUGAUUUAUGGACAAUUGAUCCG
RNAcentral lists this ribosomal RNA (307 nucleotides) under Parapholidoptera kosswigi. RNAcentral describes it as "partial 16S ribosomal RNA". Lineage: Eukaryota; Metazoa; Arthropoda; Insecta; Orthoptera; Tettigoniidae. The record is from RNAcentral.